GGAAGGAUGGCAGAGUGGUCGAUUGCACCCGCUUGGAAAGUUGGCGGUCCUUCGGGACCCGGGGGUUCGAAUCCCCCUCCUUCCGCCA
This 88-nucleotide transfer RNA is filed under the name Sulfitobacter sp. R18_1. RNAcentral describes it as "tRNA-Ser". It matches the Rfam family "tRNA". From Rfam's summary of the family: Transfer RNA (tRNA) molecules are approximately 80 nucleotides in length. The record is from RNAcentral. Lineage: Bacteria; Pseudomonadati; Pseudomonadota; Alphaproteobacteria; Rhodobacterales; Roseobacteraceae.